GUUUAAGUGCCUCUCUUCACCUGAUCUCGUUCUUCCGAUCGGGUUGACGUGGAGGAAAGAGGAUCGUCCGAUCGAGACCUGUUUAAGCGAUUUUAAUGUGCAAAUAUGGGUCAUCCAUCUUGACUUUGAGGAGUGAAUCCUGCUUGUUCAUCUCUCAACCGUUGAUCAAUACCGUCUGUUUGAAUAUGGGCAGGAUUUGUAAUCCGACCGUUCGUGCGAGCGGAAAUGGAUGUCGACUGUUUGAUCCGCUUAGCAUGCGGAUCGCCAACCUAGCUUCUUGCAUGGAAGCGCAAGCUGACACAGUUGCCACGCAGCGUACUGUGGUUCGCCAAG
Molecule: long non-coding RNA, 333 nt
Filed under: Carica papaya (papaya)
Lineage: Eukaryota; Viridiplantae; Streptophyta; Magnoliopsida; Brassicales; Caricaceae
Description: long non-coding RNA (CPAP_LNC012061)
Source: RNAcentral